UUCCCAGCUAAGUUGAUGAGCUAUUUAUCUGAUUCAUGGGAGGCCUAAACCAAAGUUGCAACUUGCAAGUUUAGCUGAUAAUACCUUCUUCUUUUCUUUGAUCACAGAAUGUGGUUUUAUUAGUAACUUAGCUUACAUUU
Non-coding RNA from Brassica napus (rape), 140 nucleotides. The record is from Rfam. NCBI's taxonomy places the organism in Eukaryota, Viridiplantae, Streptophyta, Magnoliopsida, Brassicales, Brassicaceae.